AGCAGAGGUUCCCUGGGGCUGACAGUGGGUGGUCAGGGCCUGAAGCGAAAGCCCUCUUCCACAGGUAUCCAUUUCAACAUGUGACUCAUAGCUGGUGUCCAUGACAGGACCCUAGCUGGACUCCCUCCAGCCCCAAACCACUAGAAACCUGGACAGAGGAAGCAGCUGUGUUCAGACACUGAUAGGCAGCUCAGGCCGCGACACGCAACAUUGCAGCCUCUCUGGCCCCCUGGCUGCUGGCCCCAGGGUCCUGCUGACCCAGAAACACCUUCUAAAG
RNAcentral lists this long non-coding RNA (277 nucleotides) under Ictidomys tridecemlineatus (thirteen-lined ground squirrel). RNAcentral's name for it is "lncRNA (ENSSTOG00000030134.1)". Lineage: Eukaryota; Metazoa; Chordata; Mammalia; Rodentia; Sciuridae. The record is from RNAcentral.